GACGAACGCUGGCGGCGUGCUUAACACAUGCAAGUCGAACGGAAAGGCCCUGCUUUUGUGGGGUGCUCGAGUGGCGAACGGGUGAGUAACACGUGAGUAACCUGCCCUUGACUUUGGGAUAACUUCAGGAAAAUGGGGCUCAUACAGGAUAGGAGAUCCUGCUCCAUGGUGGGGGUUGGUAAGUUUCGGCGGUUGGGGAUGGACUCGCGGCUUAUCAGCUUGUUGGUGGGGUAGUGGCUUACAAAGGCUUUGACGGGUAGCCGGCCUGAGAGCGGUACCGGCCACAUGGGGACUGAGGUACGGCCCAGACUCCUACGGGAGGCAGCAGUGGGGAAUAUUGCACAAUGGGCGGGAGCCUGAUGCAGCGACGCCGCGUGCGUGAUGACGGCCUUCGGGUUGUAAACCGCUGUCGACUGUGACGAAGCGUGAGUGACGGUAAUGGGUAAAGAAGCACCGGCUAACUACGUG
This 468-nucleotide ribosomal RNA is filed under the name uncultured bacterium. Its description in RNAcentral is "partial 16S ribosomal RNA". It matches the Rfam family "Bacterial small subunit ribosomal RNA", at positions 28 to 507 of the family's 1533-position model. The record is from RNAcentral.